This 570-nucleotide ribosomal RNA is filed under the name uncultured bacterium. RNAcentral describes it as "bacterial SSU rRNA". It matches the Rfam family "Bacterial small subunit ribosomal RNA", at positions 338 to 916 of the family's 1533-position model. The record is from RNAcentral.
CCUACGGGAGGCAGCAGUGAGGAAUAUUGGACAAUGGGCGCAAGCCUGAUCCAGCCAUGCCGCGUGCAGGAAGACGGUCCUAUGGAUUGUAAACUGCUUUUGUACAGGAAGAAACACUCCCUCGUGAGGGAGCUUGACGGUACUGUAAGAAUAAGGAUCGGCUAACUCCGUGCCAGCAGCCGCGGUAAUACGGAGGAUCCAAGCGUUAUCCGGAAUCAUUGGGUUUAAAGGGUCCGUAGGCGGUUUAAUAAGUCAGUGGUGAGAUCUGGUCGCUCAACGAUCAAACGGCCAUUGAUACUGUUAGACUUGAAUUAUUAGGAAGUAACUAGAAUAUGUAGUGUAGCGGUGAAAUGCUUAGAUAUUACAUGGAAUACCAAUUUGCGAAGGCAGGUUACUACUAAUGGAUUGACGCUGAUGGACGAAAGCGUGGGGAGCGAACAGGAUUAGAUACCCUGGUAGUCCACGCCGUAAACGAUGGAUACUAGCUGUUCGGAGCAAUCUGAGUGGCUAAGCGAAGUGAUAAGUAUCCACCUGGGGAUACGUUGCAAGAUGAAACUUAAGGAUUGAGGC